This 253-nucleotide ribosomal RNA is filed under the name uncultured bacterium. RNAcentral's name for it is "partial 16S ribosomal RNA". It matches the Rfam family "Bacterial small subunit ribosomal RNA", at positions 524 to 776 of the family's 1533-position model. The record is from RNAcentral.
UACGUAGGGUGCGCGCGUUGUCCGGAAUUAUUGGGCGUAAAGAGCUCGUAGGCGGUUUGUUGCGUCGGCUGUGAAAUCCCGAGGCUCAACCUCGGGUCUGCAGUCGAUACGAGCAAACUAGAGUGUUGAAGGGGAGACUGGAAUUCCUGGUGUAGCGGUGAAAUGCGCAGAUAUCAGGAGGAACACCGGUGGCGAAGGCGGGUCUCUGGGCAACAACUGACGCUGAGGAGCGAAAGCGUGGGGAGCGAACAGG